AAAAAACCUCAAAUAAAACCUGGACAGGAAUAUAGACAGACAGCUAUAGAAGUGCAUCUGAACUGAAUCAUAUGUACUGCAGUAGGGGAUGAGCAGAAAAAAUAGAUUGCAUAUUUAUAAUUAGAAUACAUCCUUAUCUCUCUCUUUUGAAAUGUUGCAGCUUUCUUGGAAAUAUUUUGAGUGCAUAUUUUAAGCUCCAUUCUCCUGAACUGAAUUAGAUGAGGUGUUUCACCAAGGAGUAAAAUACUUGUUUGCAAUUUAAGGUUUAAGUUUCAGCCACCUAUCCAUCUCUGUAUCAUUCGCUUUGUCUUUUCUUUUUCCUUGUGUUCGCAGACCUUAUGUAAAACGGUGUUUGUUUGUAUCAAAAUCUAAUUUCUCCAUGCAAGAAAAUAGUGAAUGUUAUUCAAAACAACCCCCAGUGUUUGACUGAGGUAAAUUGGAUGAGAAUUUUUCACAUGCAAAGAGUUAAAGCUGAACUGAAAACUUUAAAGCAAAGGGAUAGCAGCAAACAGUGAAAAAUGGCACGUCUGCUCCCUCUGACAAGCUUGCACUACAUCACAUGUUAGGAAGCACAGUUUUUUGAAUCUAAGACCAGUUUUAGUUUUUAAUAGGAAAUAAUUACAUGGAACUUUAUUUCCAGAGAGAACGUCCCUUCCAGCUACAGUGUUUUGCUUUGAUCUGAGCAUUAACUGGUAAUAAAAUAACCAUAUUUUGGAUCCUAAGCAUAUUGAUGCUUAAAGGAAUGUUAUGCUUUCAAUCAAACUCUAACGUCAGAUUAUCCAAAGGUAUUCAUCCUCCUUUUGUCAGAAACCAAUUUGUUCUUUUACUCCCGCAGCCCCUCACACGUGUUUUUGUACAUUUUGGCAUUUCAUAGCAGAAUUUGCACUGUCGAGGUGGAAAACUUGUACACGGAGUGAGAUCACGUCCCAGCCCGGCAAUCAGCGCCGUGUCCCACGCAGCCAUGUGUGUGGCUGUGGCUGUCCCUUACACUUACACACCUCCAUCGCGCCACUACUGUGAAUGCGUAUUUAGUUUUAAAUCCCUCAUUUUUAUUGUUUUCGUUAUUUUUUACCUGGAGAAUCAAUCACUGGGAUCCAUCCCAAACAAUUAACCUCCCCUUUAUAUGAUGGACCCAAGCGCAGUGCUUCAUAAAGCCAUGAAAAGGACAUCCCAGACACCAGGACCCGAGCCCAGGCUUGUCACGGAGCAUAAAGGGAGAGCCAAGGGGAGGUUUUAUCUCUUUGCCCCACCAACUCUCGCUAGUUCUAAGUUUCAGUGUGACAAUAAACCAGUUUUGAUAAGGCAGCUCAUGGAUUUCUCUGCCACAUAAAGUUUUCUUAAUAAUAAAAAAGAAGAAACUUUAUCCCCGCUAAAUUAAAAUAGGGCAGAUGUUGGAUAUGGUUCAUAUUAGCCAGCCCUUCACCCCUUUGCCCCUGGCACUAAAGUCCUGACUCUUGCUUUAUUCCAUGUCUGUUUCUAACUGGAAGGUAUUAUUCCUGCCCUUGCUCUCUUCUCGUAUUUAUUUUUUCAGCGUCUAAAAUUAAACCUAUUCAUUUAGCAACAUACGUUCUACUUUGGAUUGCUAAACCUGUCCAGAGAGGGGAAACGUUUUCCAAAAAGUGAUGCACCGCUGACCUUAAAACAAAACAUAAGGCAGGGAAAGCUGCUCUUAAAAGGUUUAUUUCUAGAGAGUUUUGUAGCUCUGUUGACGUUACAGGGAUAAUGGCUGUAUUGCAACGGGCUUUCAAGGCCCAAGAGGUUUAUGUUUGCUUCUGACCAGAAGUAUAAUAAUGUUUUAAAGGUGCAGGAAGUCUCAUCACUUUUCAGAUAUUUAAAACAAGAUUGAAAAAAAAACCCUUGGGAAACAUAGAUGAUGUUGGGCGGUCCUGCUGAGAAAGAAGGGCACAGACAAACUAAAAAAACAACCACCCCCCUGAAAACCCAAAUAAAAAUCAAUAUUAAAAAAUCCCUAGCUUUGCCAGCUUUUCCCUGCUAGCUAUAUGAAAAUCCUGGCUAUUAAGCUCCUAGGAUAGUACAGCUCUUUUCUCCAGGGUUGCAAAGAUAGAAUUUAUUGUCCAUUUGGAGCGCUCAAGUUUAGGCUAAUAAAAGGCCCUCUGUAAGCAGAAAUGCCAAAGUUGAUGUUUGGCGUAGCUCUCAAUGGUGGAGUUUAUAUAGGAUGGGGCUCUGUGCUACUUAGAAUUACUCAUAUCUCAGCAGCUGAAGAUGAUUUGACAUACAGGAGUAAAUGAUAGUAGGCGAUGGCUGGAGGUUAAUCAGCCCGCCUUUCUGAACUGGGCAUUUGAAAGCAGGAAAAAGUGAAAGCUGCUCUCUCUAUCCCUUUCCUUUUCUAAGGCACUGCUAACUUUUAUGAUUUUUUUUUUCCUCUUUCUCUUUUACUAUCUGUCUUUGUGCCUGAGGGCCAGUGAAAGAACACUGCAGAUUCUAGAUUGCUUUCAGAGUUUCCCUUUGCUGAUGAUGGAUUACCAUGUCAAUUUAAACGGCAUAGGAUUAAUUUGUUUCAAUGAUUUCUCUUUAGGCUGAAUGCCAGUCUUUUUUUCUAUCUCUUUCCUUGCUCUUCAGAAUAAUAAUAAUAAUAAUAAUAAUAAAUCCUUAAAAACCCCAAACGCUUUUGAUAUCCCACGUUAAAAAGACAAUAAUAGAAAUAGACAAGUUAGGUGUAAUGUUGCAACACAGUUAUAGGUUUGAGUGUUUUUAUCUCAUUUUAAGGGGCUGAAGCAUACAGUCAGUCACAUUAAAAUGAAAUUGGAUCCAACGUUUAUUCAAUAAAUACUUGUCUUGUAGGUAAUCCAGAGCAGAGUGCUUUUGACACAUAAGGACUUAAUUUGUCUUGGAUAACAAGUUAUUAAUAUGGCACAUUUAAACUUGCCACCUACAAUAAGGUCAUUUAGAUCUAUAAUAUGGCUCAUGAGGGAACUCCAUAAAGCCAGAAACAAAGUUAGGGACCGCCCUCGCACGGUGCAGCUCCCAAGUCAGCGUGUGGCUCAGGCUUUGCUCUUUCCAAAGAAAAUUCUGAGCGGGAGGACCGAUCCAAACCCCAACGGUUCACACCUGCUCCUCCCUGACAGGUGAGCAGAAAUAGGGAGGGAGGAGGAAAAAACCCAAACACACCUUUUCUGAAUGAGUAAUCUCGAAAGCCGUGCUGCAUCUGCAGGCAAACUCAUUGCAGUGCCGAGUGAAAGAAACAACAUUUGGUUCCGAGGGGAAAUUCGCCUGCGUUUGUACUCUGCCUCGUCCACGUGCUCUGUGAUUUUCUGGCUUUUAAUAAUAAGUGAGGAAGUUGGAACAUAAUCCACCCAUAAAUGUUACUGCUGUAAUUUGACUGCUGUGUUUGUUCGCGCAUUAGCCAUAUACAGAAAGAGAGGUGGGGACGCGUGUUGGCGGUCCUACCGCAGCCUGAACAAACAGAGGUCUUUGGGUAUAGAUUGGAUUUCAGACCCCCAAUACUUUGUGAUCGCUUUAAAAUUUGGAAAGCUGGGGAAGAGGUGUUCAGUUUCAGACCCGUCCUCAUUGAACCACGUCUGCUAGAGUCCCAUGGGGACAGGAACCCAGUGGGCAUGCUGUAUGGAUGUGGUUUGACGCCGGCGAUGCCUUCCCUGCACUGCAUGUGUGAGCCUUGCUGUGCUGCUGCUUGAUGUGAAGUUCUUGAUUGCUCUUGCCCUGGCAGAUUCUGUCUCUUUAAGUAACUAAAUCUCAUUUUUAAGCUCUUCCUGGGAAAAGGAUGUUACACAUGAGUAGAAAAAUGCAGGCAAGAAAGGCUAAUUGAAUGAAAAGGGAGAAUUACGUUAAAAAUAGAGUACAAUCUAGUAUCACAUUUUCACUAGUGUAACCUGAAAUGAAGGUGUCUCCGAGUCCCUAGUGAUGCCAGAGUGUUUAGAUGUUGGGCACAGAUGGAGACACCUAUUGAAAUGUGUCUGAAGAAGAUUAAUAGGACUUGUCAGUGUUGGGAAAGCACUGCUUUGCUGUAAAUUUCUACUAGCACAAGAUGAAUUACCGAUGAAUGCUCAGUUAUCAACCCCAUCACUAUCAUUGGACACUAAAUCAAAUUGAGCAGUUAUCUACAAUCAGAAAAUUUCUUUUAAAAAUAGGCAUACACCUUAAGGCUUAAACUCUUUAAUAAGACAAUAGCCUCUGUGGUAUGUGUGUGUUCACGAAGGGAUGUAGCUGAAAGUUUCUACACAAAAAGCUUCUGUUCUGAAACGAACUCUGAGUUUAGUGUGAAAUCGGGCUUGUCGAACAAUAGGAAAUAUUCAGAAAUCCUGGUGGUACAAUAUAAGUUCUGCCAGGGGCCAGAUGCACGCCCCUGGAUUUUGGAUCGGGCCCUAUUUGUGAAUGGCUUUUUGUCAGGGCUGCUUUCUCUUUAUUUUUGGUGAUGAUAAAAAAACUUCUCUCUACCUUAAAGACUCAGCAUCCUAAUCAUAUAUUAAUGCAAAAUAGCUGUCAAGACACAGGGUGUAAGUAUAAUGAUAACAGCCCCCCCCAGCAUAUUUAGGAAAUGACAGCUUAAUAUAAUGAAAUACACGAUGAAAGAAUAAAUGAAUAACUCUGAAGCUAGGAAUAUUUCUUUUUACUCUUCUACAAAAGGGGAAACUGUCACAAGCAAAACUACGGCGAGCGUUCACAGCCCCGUGGUACCGCAUAUUAGCUGCAUUCACCAUGUGACGCCGCUGAUGACAAUGACAUUAAAUAAGCACUAUAUAUUUUUAGUUUCUAGGACUUCUCUUCCUCUCACUCAGGCACAGCACCGCUUUAUCCAAGGAGAUUUAUCGCAGCAUGUUUUCAGGAGUCAAUUUUUCCCAUUUAUUAUAGACAAGGGCAGUCAUUUAUGUAUAGGGAGGGAGACAGGUACAGUGCUGUUAUCUGAUCGGUGUCCCCAGCACAGCCACCAUCCUAAUGGAUGGUAAAUUCCCACUGUGUGGGAUCGGGCCCUGCCUGGGCUCCGCAGCCCAGGAAUGCAUCCUCCCCAUCUCCUCCACAUAUCUCACCUGUGAUGUGUGCUGCUUUGUGAGGAGGGAAUAAUGUGCCACUUACCACAAAGCACGGCUUCAAAUCCUUUGUGUGUUUUGCAUCCCCAGCUUAUUAUUUACCACCUUAAAAAUGUGACUGGGGAAGGGACAGCAGCCGUUAUCACCUUUAUUUUUACACCCACAUUUUUGGGCAGCAAGCACCCUGUAUUCGGGCCGGAUUCUCACUCGGAUGGAAGUUAUUACCUUCUGGCAGAACGGAGCCGAUCUCAGCCAGCCGCAGCCCAUGCCCUGCUCACACGGGCUCUGCAAAGCAUCCCCUUGCUCAUUUAUUUCCUUUGGAGGGUAUGAUUCCUUGAACGUGUUCGCUCUACAGAGAGCAGCGGUCAGUUUCUAACUUUAUUUUCCCCCCAACAAACACAGUCAGAGAAUAUUAACAGGGGAUAUUAAUAGAGCUGAGUGCGGCAUGGUGCUAGUUAGGUGUAGUAGCUGAGAAAUAUGAACUAGUGAGCAUAAUCCAUAAACUCCAUUUGGUUACUAUAAUACUCCAAUCUGUAUUUAUUACAACCCCACUCUGAUGCUUAUACAACAGCAAUUGCUAGAUUUAUACACUCUAAUGGUUUCACAAUAGGAAAAACCUGUGUUCUUUAUCUUUCUUUUCCUGUCCAAAAUAACCCCUUCCACAUAUACUUCAGGCUUCUCUGGACCUUGUCUGGGUUUAAUCACAGGCUGUGGGACAAAAUGUGCAUUAUUAAGAAAUAUAAAUAUUUUCAGAAGCAAUCAAAGGGUUGAAAGAUUGAUUCGGCAUGUAGAUUGGAUUUAAUUCGAAGCAGCUUUGUUCUAAUGAGUACUACUGGGAUACAAAGACAGCAGCCGCUUAUGGCCACCAGUUGGGAGCUUGGAUUCGCGGCAGUAACCUGUCAAGAAUUUCACCCAAUUGCCAGGUAUUAAACAGCAGAAUUUUGGGGAAGUUGAUGUCCAGCCUCCUCCAUCAGAGGCUGGAAUAGGAUUUCAGAGUUCCUAUUUUGCCGAAAUGACAAUUAAGGAUGAUUUCUUUGCGUAAGAAGGUGAUUUUUUUUUUUUUUUUCCCCUUGCAAAAGUGAACUGUAGCUCACUGUUGGCUUGGAAGAUCACAUCCUCGCUGGGAGACCCAGCAGAAGCGCCUUCCUAGCCCUGCUUCCCUCAGAAAAGCCUGCAGCGUCCUACAAAACAACCUCAAAGCUGAGAAAACGGGACAAUUUGCUGCUUUACCUUCAGAUUAAAAAAAACAAAACAAAACAAAAACCCAACAAAAACCUAAAAUUUCAAUGUUUGAAGCAGGGGGCCACGUCACAGGUACUUGGGAGCGCAAGACCCUGGAAACUCUCCUAAACGUCGAGCGUACAGUUGGAAUCACAGCACAUACAGGAUCAAACACCCACUAGUUUCUCUCUCCCCGUAGCCCCCCCUUGCCUACUUUUGUCCAUAAAAGCAAUAGAAGGAGAGAAAGCUUGAAUUUUCUGAACUGUUUCACCCAUCCACAGCUGGAAUUCCAAAGUGAAAUGAAAAUGCCUUUAAAAUCAACCCUACAUGGGAGCCUGAGAGAACAAGUUUUCCUUUGUUGUAGGGUAUAGUAUUAUUUGCUGUAGGUUUUUGAUAUACAUUCUAAAUUAGGCCUGCAAAGGAAUGCUUCAUCUUUAAUUCAUCACUCUCAGCUGAAAGAGAUUAGCAAUGUCUAGCACGCACCCUUCGUAUGGUGCUGACCUCAUCAAGUAUGGCCUGAAAUUAAUUAGCCUCAUUCAUUCCAAAUGGAAAAGGAUAAUGGAGCUGCAUUUUAGAGAUGACCAUCACAAAUUGUAUGCAGCAUAUUUAAAAUCCCUCCCCCCUCACUCCCCUCCCCAUUUAAAAAACUAUGUAGAUUAAAAUUCUUUCCAGAACUUGCAAUAUGUCAGCGUUAUCAAGGCAUCGGGAGCAGAAACCGCUCCGUUUUUAUUUGUGGAACUGGGAGCCACAUUUUGUAUGUGUGGCUGUAAAAGCGGCGAGUCUGUCUUGAUGGCAGAACACCUGGAAUUAAUUUGAUAUUUCCAGGUGCUCUGGAAAACCGAGGCAUCAAGCACUUGAUGUUUAAACAUUCUUCCACCCGCUCGCUUAAAUCAAUAUGAAAGUGGUGUCCCUUUGUCAUUCAUACAUGCAAAGUGCUAGCACAAACUCCAGCUUGGCUUCAGAGUCCUACAUCACUCAUAAUCUAAUUAGAAAUCAGAGCAGAGCUGAAGCAGCAUUCUUUGUGGAUUCUUGGGCAGCAAAUAGGGAUACUUGUCUUUUGUUUCCCUCCCGGAUGGCAUUGUUCACAAGCUUUCACACCACAUCUCUAAAGGUGGUUAGGUGCCUCAAGAUGUUGACAGCCCUGAAGGACAAGAUUAUUUAGGUAUUUAGGUGCCAACCCUGGGUGAUUUCAAACAGAAUCAAGCAACUGAACGUAACCGGGGGGAGAAAUAAAAGAAAAAACAUCCAACGUGAAUGAAAAGCUCUAAUCUAAAACACAACCGAUGUUUUUCCGCGGUAAAAUUGCCUGCAGGGUUAUCCUGCUGAAGUUUGCUGAUUCUACCAUGGUCAGCAAGCUCCUGGCUUCAGGCAGUGCCUCGGGGGCUGGGCACCACGCUGCCCUCUGCUCUGGUCAGUUUCUCAGAAACAGGGAACACAGCAAAGAACUCAAGCUUUCCCACAGGAUUUUGGAAGAUGCCAACGACUCACAAUGGUGAGAUCUGGGCCAAAAGCAGAUUCAACCUGGAUUCCUCCUUCUGUGCACUCCUCUUGUGAGCAAUGACUGCUGAUGGACCCCAGCGAUGUGUGCUUUUCCCUCUGCCUGCUCCCCACCAUCAGAUCAUCAGGAGGGACUGAGAUAAUUCUGUGAGAUGAACUACCACAAGACACUGUGCUUAUAGGGACCAAACACGUGAAGACAGAGUUGAUGGAUCUGGAGCCCUGACUGCUGCCCGGCAAUGGUUCAGCAUGGACUGCUCUCAUCCUGGCUGCUCUUCAACACUACGUUGAGCUGCAUGAAGACCUAAGAACCAAGCCAACAGCAAGAGCAUGACCAAGAAUCUGAGAACCAACCUCGCACCAAGUGCAUGACCAAGUUUACUCCUCUUCCAGACCAUACCUGAAACAUGGCAUGAAGUUUCAUUCUGUUCUUCUGCAGGUUCCUGAUGCCAAAGGUCUGACCUUACAAUGAGCAGCACACAGGGUGAGAUCGGGCACUGCGCUGAGCUUCACACACAGCUAUUUUGAUCAUAAACUCGGGCUUGCAGAAAUCUCUGUCUGCAGGAGAGGCUCAGCCAGGCUUACUACUACAUCCCGACCCUUGUUAAUGCACAUACUUCCAGCCCUGAUGCACUGGGACCACCGCUGCCGGCCAAUUUCCAGCAAGAUCUUUGUUGCCUAGAUCCUGCCAACAACCAGGGAACAAGUGCAAGCCAGCAGAGAAAAUGAACGACCAGAAGUACCAGGAUCCUGCCAUCCUAUCCUCUGCUGUCAGGUUGGGGUCACAACUACCAUUUGGAGAAGCAACUUCCAUGGAGAUAUGAACAGAAUAUGAAUACAAUUCUGUGUAAGUGGAUUUUUGUUCAGUUUUAGUUUAAUGCGAUGUAUAAAGUCUGUACAAAGUCUGCUGUUAAGCCCAGCCUCGUCACGAAAAUGCAUUUGGUCACUACACGUUCAAUUCCAUAAUGCAUACCUGUGUACCAUACUAUAGCAACACCUACUCCAUUUAUAUAUUAAAAUUAUUUUACCAGGUCAGCCCUUUGACAUUUCACUUUCUUUUGUAAAAGAUUCUAUGGCACAAAUCAGUUGUGCUAUCUCUCUACCUUCUGAUCAGUUGGCAGAUUUUCUUAAGGCUAUUUUAACUUAUUGUAACAUUUCUCUACUUUCUUAUUUGAGUAAUAGAGCCUUUCACAAGCAUAUUAUGACAUAUAACAACUCUCAAAAACCAAAUAGAUACUCAUUAUCAUUUUCUCUUAAGUAUUUGCAAGUUCUGGGUUAUCUUAUGCAACCUUUACAUGUUAGCUAGCGUUUUACCCUUUGGUAGUUUUGCUCAAUUACAGAAGGUUAUGAUAAUAUACAGAUGUGUCUUUGUAGAUUUCUUUACAGAUGAUAUCAAUGAAAUGUUCUGAAGUCUAGUAACUACUCAAUACUAGUUUAUAUGGCCCUCUUUGCUCCUACUGCUGCUUUGAACCAACUUAUUUAGUCAUUUUGACUUUACUCAGAUGCAUUCCUUCCUGCUGCAACAGCAGUUAUACAGGAUGUUUGAAACCAUGCAGUCAUUUCCAUUCUGGAUUUCAUGAGGGUUUAUUCUUGUCUGAGUGAUGAAUCAUACAUACAUCCCUCUGUGGAUUCCAGGUGAGUUACUCACACUAGGUGCUUCCAAGUAAUACACAGAAAGGUGCUGAGAAAAUGACAAGUCUGCCCAGUCAGAAAGCUCAGCAAAGGUAGAUCAGAGAAAAAUGCCCUUAAAAUUUUUCUAGGGGAAACCCAGGACCAAAAAGCUUUGCCUUCAAAAAAGCAUGACAAGCAGGGAGGUGGAGUUCGUGCAUUACUGACUGACCAACGGCUGCUCCCUGUCCUCAGAAAUAGAUCAGGAAAUAACUGAAAGUACCUGGAGAUAUCAAAAGGAUAAUUAAGUUUCAUUGUGAGAAUAAGAAGGUAAUCUGUCUAGACAAAUCUAGGGCCUAGUAUUGAAAACUGUAGUAUCUGAAUAAAAAAAAUGAGUAAUUUUGAAUAAAGAUGUCUAUCAGGACUGUAAAUUCAGAGGGUAAAAAAGUAGCUUUGCUUAACAGACCAUCUCUCCAUCUUCCUCUGACUCAUUUUCUUGUUCUAUUUCUUCCUUUUGUGUUCUUGGGGGGGAAAAAAAAAAAACACAUGUAAAAUCUGAUACUGAGAAUGCUUUAGCUUCAUUUCAACCUUUUCUUCUCAAAAGGUUUUGUUCCACUGGGAAGAUUCCCCCUAGCUCAGCCACAGUGGAGGAAGCCUUGCAGAGCCAUCUGCAGACAGAACAGCUGUAUUUUGAGGGGUUCUCCAAAGCAGUCAGGACCCUGUUCUUGUGGAGCUCUCAAAAAUGCUUUUGAACUGGCAUGAGAAAUCACCUGGGACCCAGAGCAGAGCACAGGGUGCAUAGGACAGUAUUUCUUUUGUGCCUUUUUUGCUGAGCAGAACUGCUGCACUAUAAACAAAUGUGAGUUUUGCCUCAUUCUUAGAUAGUGUGAGUUAUGAAAGCCCACUCCAGACAUAAUGAAUGUAUAGAUCAUUUUGACCAGAUCAUAAUCUAUGAGUAAAUAAUGUUCUCUGAAAACGUAUAGGUGAAAUAAAGAACUUGCUACUAUUGCUCUAUUGGUAUCAGGGAUUACUGAUGAGGCCAACAUAGGUCUGAAUCUUUGUGCUGGAGUUUAUAUACAACGUAGAACUAAUGACAGGGUUUGGCUAGCAAAUUCCAUCCCAGAUUGGGAUAUUCAGGGAUUAUACAGCUGCAAACAGAACCUACACAGAAUUUUUCUGUCUCUAGACUUUAUCACAAGCCCCAAACUCAGAUUGACCGGCAGACACACAACAUUUAUAGAACUUUUCCAUUAGGCUCCCCUGAUUUUGGUAGUGAUAAUUAAUAAGCAAAUCCCACAGCAAUUUUCAAAAGGAGCAGGACUCCGGUGCACCUAGUCUAACACCUAUAACACCUUCACUGCACAAAAUAAGCCUGAGGACACCACGCUGAGGACCCAAUGGCUGGCUGCUAUCACCAUAGGAGACUUAGUUUUAAAGAAGCUGGCACUUAAGUGACAUCUGUGUGUAAUGUGCUGCCCUAUCCAGACACUGGACUCCAUGUAUUGUGCCCUAAAACUAGAGAGGAAGUCACUGGGAAAAAAAAAAAAGGAAAAAAACACGAGGGAAUAAAAGUACUUUUGAAAGAGAAGAAAUCUACAUUUCAAUGAAAAUCCUUUCAAGGCAUUUCAAAUAAGAGUCUGAGAGAAAUAAUUACAAAGUUUGGAGAGAAAGAACGUUAGCUUUGAUAUCUUUUUCUUCUAUGAAGCAAUUAAAAUAAGCAAUUUUUCAAAUACUAAGCAGAAAAUUACUAAUGGCUGAACCCAAAAGCUUUCAUUUCCUUCUUGGGGCCUUUAUUCUUCUAAAAAAAGACAAAAAAAUGUGAAGGUGGUUUUCCAGAUAGAUUAAUGCAUAAAGCAGUCGCUAGUUGGAUGUCAUAAAAACUACAGCAGCAUAGAAUAGCUGAGAUUAAGAGCUAGAUCUAAAUCAUGCAACAGUCCAGUUAAUAUCAAUGUCUAAUUAAGAAAUGCAUAAGAAGUCUGUAAUGUUGAUUUGAUGGAGAAAAACUCUAAUAGGGUUUCUUUUGGAAUUUUCCAUUUCAAUUGCUGUGUAGACUUUUAAUGGAUGUCCUCUCCAGUCUUUGGUAUUAGCAGGAAUCAUCCUCAAAUUAAAACCAGGGCCUAAAAUGGAACACAGGUAGACAAAUUAGCUUGUCUGGGAAGCAGUCCGAAUAGCAUGACAAUGUGAGCUCAACCUGAAAUUUUAGUACAAAUAGAAGAGAACAAAUGUCUCAAAUCUGGUGUGGAAACCCUAUCUGCUUAUCGUUUAAACAAUUUAAAAACCCUGUAAUUUCAAACAAUGCAAUGUAACCUGUUUCCUCACCUCCCUCAGCCUGCCAAAAUAUGCAGAAAGCCGCAGACCAUUAGGAAUUAUUAAUUAGCCUUUUUAAAUUGGAAGACCUACUAUAGCCAUGUAGUCUUUCUGUAGCCAUUCAUGUUACUGUCACCUAAAGGUGGGCUCUUCUUGGCUUGUAACAGCAUUUAGAACACGUGGCUCCCUACCAUCAACGCAGCAAUUAGUCUCCCACUCCCUUCUGGGUAACUAACACACUCAAACUUUGAGCAAAAAUGAAACCUGUGGCAUCUGUCCCAGAUUAUCCAGGAUGUUUGGUCUCUAGGUAUGAAAGGAGAACUGGUUUUACAUUGUGUGUCACAGAUACCCUGAAGUUGUUAAGUUACAAGCAGUGUAACUGUUAGCGUGCAUAAAUCCUCACAGCAAAGAGGGAGAAAGCAUAGCACUGGCUUAAAGCAGCAGUGUGUUUGUUAUCUCCACUUUGUUGUUGACCCAGCAAAUCCGGGGGGAAUUAUCUCAAGAAUCCAGGAAGACAGCAAACUCAAAAUAAGCCCUAUGACCUAAGGAGCAAGCACACGAGGGAGUCAUUUUUAAGUUCAUUAGAGCACAUUAAAAUACAAUACACUGACCAUGGUAAAGGCAAAGCAUAUUAUUCCUUCUGCCCACAUAUUUCUUUCAAGUACUAAAUCCAUCUAGAGUCCUUUCAGAAUCAUACCAUAAAGCCUUGCCACUUCACUUUACAAGCAAAGCGGAAAAGACCAGAGGUAAAAUCAGAACAACAGUGAAAGUUUGGCACUUCCAAAUUGCUGUCAUUGCCUGAAAUGUCACAGUCUAAAUCCUUAUCUGGCAUUUUUCCAUUGAUCAAUGAGGUACAGAUGCUUCGUAUUAAAAAGCAAUACCAUGGGACUGGGGAUGCCCCAAGGAUUUUUCUCCUUGAACAAGGGAGCUAUGACAUUCUCAGCACGGCACCCACCCUCUGAAUGACGAGGGUCUAAUGAUGUGACAUUCAGCUCAUAAGAGGAGUCUGAUUUUCCUCAAAUAAUUCCGCUUGACUGUAUGACUGGGGAACUAUCAGGUUUUCAAAAUAAAAUGGAGCACAGCUUUUGCAGGAUGCUUUCCCUGCAAGCCUGGAUUUAUGAAAUACAUAGGAAAUAAGAGUAUGAAGCUGGCUGCCUUCUGCAAAUAAUACACAACAGAAAAAAUAAACAAACCUUAACUUGUCCAACACACUUGAGAGCCACAAAUUUCCUUACUGUUUCACUAAAGGAGAGGACAACUUCUUUCCUCCAUAAAACCGUCCUUUCAGACAUUACUACAGUCAUGACCUCACUGUGGUUCCUGGAUUCUUUCUGAAAAAAUGAAAUGAAUAAUACACCAGUGAUCUCAUCAAAGUGUAAAGGACAUCUUAUACAGGAGGAGAAAGAAUAUCUGGAGAACCUCAGUGCUCCAUCUGCAUAAAGACAGUAGAAAAGGGACUGUAACAUUGGAGAGAAUGAAAGAUUCAAUGCCAGAGAUGCAUUUUUCCAUCUUAUAAACAAUUAGGAUUCAUCUUACAUAUCACACUUGCCAUCCUUCUAGCUGUCCCUACAGGUGUUCUUUUUUCUCCUGCCUUUAUCAAUACUUCUCUUGUCUCUUCUGUGCUUUUCAUACAUGUUUUAACAUACUUGCUUACUCUUUGAAUCAUACACACUACUGUUCUCAACUACACUCAAAAUACAUUUUUAGGAUAUAACACAGUGCUGCUACACAAAUAUUCAUAAACUUCAUUCAUAGCUUAGAUAAUUCUGGCUAAGGACAUGUUUCUUCAUGUUCAUAUAGUUCUGAGGCCAAGGAGUCCUGGGUUAUGGCAGCUCCCAUCUAUUUUGGGGCCCUGGCAGUAAUCGGGAGGGCAGGCAGGGAGAGAUGCUUUGUUUUCUUCGGUUGGACUAUCUAUGAAAGAGUAUUGGUAACUGACAAUUCCAACCACGUUUUUCAAGCUGAGGCUGAAAACAAGAAAAUCUGCAGAAUCCGAGUACAGCAUUCAUGAUGCAAUCUUAUCUCUUGCACCCACAGGUGCACCUCACUCUGGCCUGAGAUGACACGUUAAGGGAUGCAACGACAAACCGGUUCCCUCACGCCACAGCUGAGUGUCACAUAGCUGCCCUGGGUACGUGUCAGUGCUCUGCCACAUCUCUGCUCCUCUAGGAGCAUAGCGCCAGCACAACCUUUUCCUAUCCCAUCACCAUUGCCCACCUCUUGAUUGCUGCAGGCUUGGCAGGAGUAGACAAACCUAUACCUUCCUAUCCUCAGCACUGCUCAGCCAGAAAAAAGCCAUAGGGCUUUCCCUGCAGGGGAAAGCUUUAGCCAAACCAUCACUUCUGCCAAAGGAAUGAGGAAUUCCUUGAGGUAGGCUUCCUUGGAUGCAAGUAAUUCUUCCCAAGCUAAAGCAGGGUUAUAGCUGAUACAUCUGAGUCACAAUGUGGAUUUGCACUUUACCUGUUAAACAUAACUAGUUUGUGUCCAAAAUACAGGUUCUAUUCCUAACAUCGCUUACAUCUUCACAACUUCUACAUGAGCUGUAGAUGUGACAAGCUGAGUGUCUGAGACUUCUCUCACAGUCAGCAGGAGAGCAACAUGUAAAAUACCUGUUUUUCAGAGGUGAGGUCACCAGCAUCCCCACUGGUACAUCUGCUUUGCUGAAUAAAACUCUAGAGAUUUGCAAAACUCCAAAGUGCCUAAAUUGAGUUCACUGGGCCCACACAAGAUAUCAUUUGAUCUACUCAUUUAAUAGCAGGAUUAUUCCAAAAUCUUUGGGAACGAUGGAAAUUCUGUGGACUCCAGUCUCUGCUUUCCAUUAUGGAAGAUGUUUGUGCAACAGGUUUGCUGAGGAUGGAACACUAAUGAAAAGGGUAAUUUUAUAAACUCAUCGGGGAGGGUAAGUGUCCAGCAGAAAAGAAGUCACACAGAGAUGCAGAAAUUAGUCUGCUUGAAACAAAUAAACUAAGGAAUGCCUGCUAAGGAGUUGUGAAUUUCUUUAAAACUGUUACCACACAUGGAACACUUCUUUUUUUCCCUAAAUCACCUACAGAAACUCUGCAGCUGAAGAUGUUUUGAUAGCAGUUAUGAUCAGAACACCACCACUUCUCAUACGUGAAAUACAACAUUGGGAAGGAUUUUUCCGCUCCUCAAAUCACUCUUCUGAGGCUUUAUAUCAAUCUCAAGCAAUUUGCCUAGCCAUUUCUAUGAUAAAAUAGGUGUUUUUAUCCAUUUAGAAGAGCAAUAAAACUAAGGAAAAUUCAGGCAGAACAUGCUCUUUCUUUAGAGCUUCAACUCAGAUAGUAAGAAUCUGGUUUGUGCCGUACUUCUCUCAUGAACUCAACUUUCCAUAGUGCAUUAAGUGUUGUAAUAAUGCAAAUCAAAUACAAAUUUUAAUAACUCCUUCCAUUAAAAUGAUCUAUUAAAGUUUUAAGAGUCCAACACUUAUGAGCAUUAUUCUAAUUGCAUGAUUUUGCUCGGGGCAGGUUUUACAGAUCUGCCUGAUCAUUGGAUAUUUGCACAUUUAGGAUUAUUUUAAAUUAAUUUUUGGAAGAGUUUCAGUCUCAGUAGCAACAGUUAUUUAAUAGUUGUCUUGUGGGUAACUACGCAUCUGCUUCCACAUGGGAAAAAAAGACUACAUACAUUUAGAAGUCUGGGAAAGGAGGUGGCAGAGGUUUAUAGAAUGACAAGCAAUAUGA
Molecule: non-coding RNA, 15331 nt
Organism: Meleagris gallopavo (turkey)
Lineage: Eukaryota; Metazoa; Chordata; Aves; Galliformes; Phasianidae
Source: RefSeq, a predicted model, not a curated record